AUAUCGAAAUUUUAAGAGAUACUGUUUAUGAAACUUAGUCAAAGCACUUUUAACUUUUAGCUGAUUUUCUAAACUUAAAAUUCCCAAGAAAUGACAUGAAGCAAAAAAUUUUACAUUGGAUUUAUUCAAUAGGCUCGUUAAAUUGGCAAUACGGCCAGAUGCAGGAGAUCUAAAGAGUCUCGACAAGUUCUAUUUUCGACGAAAACGAAACGAUAGAAUAACUGUGCUGUGAUAGGCGAAACUUACAAGUUAAGCGAAGAAAAUAAAAAUGAAGAUUCCAGAUUUCAUGGUUCAGAAAUCGUAGCUAAAAGCUUAAAAUCAACAUCUACUUCUCAGAUGGUAACACAGUGUAUUUACGAUGAAGUCUCGAACGACGGAUCACAACACAUGUUUGACUAGUUUCCCUGCAUUGCUGAUUAGCGAGGCAGAUUCUUACUCGACGGCAAGGGCUUUAACGUCGUUUAUCUGAUAUCGGAACAGAGGUACCACAAGCGUGUGUCAAUGCGUAAGGGCUUUGGUCAAAGAUGAACAGAUAGCUUGGAUACUUCCCAGCUUGACCGGAGCGAUACAACUAU
This is a long non-coding RNA of Varroa destructor (honeybee mite), 575 nucleotides long. NCBI's taxonomy places the organism in Eukaryota, Metazoa, Arthropoda, Arachnida, Mesostigmata, Varroidae. The record is from RefSeq and is a predicted model, not a curated record.